AGCGUCAGAUGUGUAUAAGAGACAGGUGAAUCAUCGAAUCUUUGAACGCACAUUGCACCUUUUGGUAUUCCAUGAGGUAUACAUGUUCGAGCGUCGUUUAAAUCUGAGACUCACGUCUUGUGUUGACGUAUUCCGACGGAUGUUGGAACGUUGAAAAUUAUAGGCGCACGUGACUCGUGACGAACCCAACAAUCUGGAUAAGUUCGAGUUUUCAUGCUGCCGAUAAAACUUUUACAUUAACGUUCGACCUCGAAUCAUGUAGGAUUACCCGCUGAACUUAAGCAUAUCAAUAAGCGGAGG
Molecule: unclassified non-coding RNA, 300 nt
Filed under: uncultured Dothideomycetes
Lineage: Eukaryota; Fungi; Ascomycota; Dothideomycetes
Description: sequence contains 5.8S rRNA gene, ITS2
Rfam family: Eukaryotic large subunit ribosomal RNA (bases 245-300)
Source: RNAcentral